GGAAUAUUGGUCAAUGGAUGCAAGUCUGAGCCAGCCAUGCCGCGUGCAGGAAGAAGGCCUUCUGGGUUGUAAACUGCUUUUGCCAGGGGAUAAAAUGGGCGUGCGCGCGUAAUUGAAGGUACAUGGUGAAUAAGCCACGGCUAACUCCGUGCCAGCAGCCGCGGUAAGACGUAGGUGGCAAGCGUUGUCCGGAUUUAUUGGGUUUAAAGGGUGAGUAGGCGGUCCCUUAAGUCAGUGCUGAAAUACUCCAGCUUAACUGGAGGGGUGGCAUUGAUACUGGGGGACUUGAAUGAAGUCGAGGUAGGCGGAAUUGACGGUGUAGCGGUGAAAUGCUUAGAUAUCGUCAAGAACACCGAUAGUGAAGACAGCUUACUAGGCUUAUAUUGACGCUGAGGCACGAAAGUGUGGGGAUCAAA
Molecule: ribosomal RNA, 416 nt
Filed under: uncultured bacterium
Lineage: Bacteria
Description: bacterial SSU rRNA
Rfam family: Bacterial small subunit ribosomal RNA
Source: RNAcentral